RNAcentral lists this unclassified non-coding RNA (584 nucleotides) under Hevea brasiliensis (rubber tree). Lineage: Eukaryota; Viridiplantae; Streptophyta; Magnoliopsida; Malpighiales; Euphorbiaceae. The record is from RNAcentral.
ACAGCUUCUUUAACAGAUUCAAAAGGUGCCCUUGUAUCAAUAAGACCUCUGUAUAUGCCGCCCUGCUUAACAUCUCCAGGUGAAUUGAGAGAUGAUGGUGUCCUGACAAUAUGACUGGCAAUCUUUGCAUAUGGUGAGGCAGAGGUAGGUUCAUCUGUUUGCACUCUGACCUUUAUGUGGGGAAGAUCAAACUCAUUGGAUUGCGAGCUCACCUUAGGAUAAGAAGCAAUAGGUAUAAUGUCAUCAAUAUGAAUGUGGGAACUGUCAAGAGAAGAAGUAUCUUGAGAUUGCUGCAUGUCACAGGAAUUUUGCAGAGGUUCAGUUUUUUCUUGCAAUUGCAAUCCAUCUGCAGAACUUUGAACAGCUUCAGUUUUCUCUUGGUAAUGUUGUCCAUUAGAGGAUAUUGCAACGGUUUCAAUUUUUUCUUGAGAUUCUCGUCCAUUGGAGAAAUCUUGUGUUGCUUCCGUUUUUGAAUCUUCCUUGACUGUACCUGGAUUGUCUGUCUCUAUUAUAUCAGCUGUUGAAGUAGACACCAGAUUGUCCGUUGGAAGAAGUUGAAUUUGACUGUCAGAUUCUACUUUUCC